This 253-nucleotide ribosomal RNA is filed under the name uncultured bacterium. Its description in RNAcentral is "partial 16S ribosomal RNA". It matches the Rfam family "Bacterial small subunit ribosomal RNA", at positions 524 to 776 of the family's 1533-position model. The record is from RNAcentral.
CACGGGGGGAGCAAGCGUUGUUCGGAAUCACUGGGCGUAAAGGGCGUGUAGGCGGUCAGGUUAGUGAGAUGUGAAACGCCCCGGCUCACCCGGGGACCUGCAUCUCAAACUGCCUGGCUUGAGUAUGGGAGAGGAUGAGGGAAUUCCUGGUGUAGCGGUGAAAUGCGUAGAUAUCAGGAGGAACACCGGUGGCGAAGGCGGUUCUCUGGGCAUUACCUGACGCUGAGGAGCGAAAGUGUGGGGAGCGAACAGG